AUAACCUAGGGAAAUGAAAUCUCUCCAGGAAGCCGUUCAAAAGCAGCUUAAUGAGGCAGAUGAGAAGGCAGAGAAGCAGCAGGCUACCAUUAAGUUUUUGAAGACUGAAAUGGAAAGGAAGAGCAAAAUUAUACGAGACCUCCAAAACGAGAAAUAAACAGCAAGAGGAGGAAAAAGGAAAUGCA
This is a non-coding RNA of Lonchura striata (white-rumped munia), 185 nucleotides long. Lineage: Eukaryota; Metazoa; Chordata; Aves; Passeriformes; Estrildidae. The record is from RefSeq and is a predicted model, not a curated record.